GUCUGGAGCACAGGGAUUGUGGGUGCAGGCCAGCUAGCUCAGGCAGCAAACGGCUUUGGAAAAUGGAGUUGUCUGGCACCCAAUCCCUGAUUGUCUAGACUGGAAAAUGGAACAAAAAUAUAAUUUACUAAGCACCUGCUACAUGUCAGAGCUGGACAUUUGAUUACUUUGGACAAUGGAACAGCUGCAAAUCUGAUGCAAGCAGAGAAUUAAACUAGCCCUUGCACAAUCCAGCUUCCUUUCUUAAACCGUUGUCACUGCCAUGAAAAUGUUCCCAGGUUAAUGUAUGGAGUAAUGUGAUUAUCAUGUGAAGGGGGACUGAGUUACAUAGCAAAGGUCAUCUAAGGUCAUCUAAGACCAGGUAGCCUCUAGCCUACCGCUAGGUGACUGAACACACUUGAGUGAGCCCAGUUGAAACCAGCCGAACCAACUCCAAAUCAGCAAAAUCACCUACCUGAUCCAUAGAUUCAUGAUAAAUUAAAAUUGAUUGUUAUUUAAAACAA
This is a long non-coding RNA of Suricata suricatta (meerkat), 503 nucleotides long. RefSeq lists it as uncharacterized. The transcript is spliced from 2 exons. The record is from RefSeq and is a predicted model, not a curated record. Lineage: Eukaryota; Metazoa; Chordata; Mammalia; Carnivora; Herpestidae.